Molecule: ribosomal RNA, 944 nt
Filed under: Ferdinandcohnia humi
Lineage: Bacteria; Bacillati; Bacillota; Bacilli; Caryophanales; Bacillaceae
Description: bacterial SSU rRNA
Rfam family: Bacterial small subunit ribosomal RNA
Source: RNAcentral
GGCAAGAUUUGGGAACUUGCUCCAAAGUUAGCGGCGGACGGGUGAGUAACACGUGGGCAACCUGCCUAUAAGACUGGGAUAACUUCGGGAAACCGGAGCUAAUACCGGAUAACAUAUGAGACCACAUGGUCUCAUAUUAAAAGAUGGCUUUUAGCUAUCACUUAUAGAUGGGCCCGCGGCGCAUUAGCUAGUUGGUGAGGUAAUGGCUCACCAAGGCGACGAUGCGUAGCCGACCUGAGAGGGUGAUCGGCCACACUGGGACUGAGACACGGCCCAGACUCCUACGGGAGGCAGCAGUAGGGAAUCUUCCGCAAUGGACGAAAGUCUGACGGAGCAACGCCGCGUGAGCGAAGAAGGUCUUCGGAUCGUAAAGCUCUGUUGUUAGGGAAGAACAAGUACCGUUCAAAUAGGGCGGUACCUUGACGGUACCUAACCAGAAAGCCACGGCUAACUACGUGCCAGCAGCCGCGGUAAUACGUAGGUGGCAAGCGUUAUCCGGAAUUAUUGGGCGUAAAGCGCGCGCAGGCGGUCCUUUAAGUCUGAUGUGAAAGCCCACGGCUCAACCGUGGAGGGUCAUUGGAAACUGGGGGACUUGAGUGCAGAAGAGGAGAGCGGAAUUCCACGUGUAGCGGUGAAAUGCGUAGAGAUGUGGAGGAACACCAGUGGCGAAGGCGGCUCUCUGGUCUGUAACUGACGCUGAGGCGCGAAAGCGUGGGGAGCGAACAGGAUUAGAUACCCUGGUAGUCCACGCCGUAAACGAUGAGUGCUAAGUGUUAGAGGGUUUCCGCCCUUUAGUGCUGCAGCAAACGCAUUAAGCACUCCGCCUGGGGAGUACGGUCGCAAGACUGAAACUCAAAGGAAUUGACGGGGGCCCGCACAAGCGGUGGAGCAUGUGGUUUAAUUCGAAGCAACGCGAAGAACCUUACCAGGUCUUGACAUCCCUA